This 1574-nucleotide unclassified non-coding RNA is filed under the name Leishmania donovani. Its description in RNAcentral is "gene:LdHU3.22.1160(CDS-product:hypothetical_prote in_conserved)". Lineage: Eukaryota; Euglenozoa; Kinetoplastea; Trypanosomatida; Trypanosomatidae. The record is from RNAcentral.
UUGUGUCUCCUCCUCUCUGUUGCUGUGUGCUCGUGAGGUUGUACUCUUCACAAACCACACACCACACACCUCCUCUUCUUUGGCUUCUCUCUCUGCCUGUGCGUCUGUCCCCGUGCUGGAGCCGUGAGUAAGCGCGUGCACGCAUUCACUGCCUUCCCAACUUCUCCUGGACGCGCACACACACAUAAACCGCUGCUCCUUGUCGGCUAUUCCUCGCCCACACCCUCCAGAGGGAACACUCCUGUGCGUUGCCGGCUAACGCACACGCCAAAGCAUACACACACACACCUCCACGAGAAGACGCGAGGACGAACAGGUACCCAGGCGCGCCGACGAGAAGAGUCACGCGCCGUGACGCAGCCGAAAAAAAAAAAACAAAGGCACGACAGGUAAGAAAACACUAACACCUUCAGAAAAAGCGACAUCGUCAUGUCGUCUGCGAGCAAGGCGUCGGGUGGAAAGUGGGUGAGCCCCCGCGUGCUGCAGUACAAGCAGCAGCAGGGCCCCACCACUGGCCCGGCGUCUGGUAACGGCGGCGCUGGCAGCAAGAUCAUGGAGGACAAGGCCAUCGCUGCGGCCCGCAUUAAGGAUAGUCAGAGCAGCCCAGCACCGGAGGUGGAGGUAGCGGAGUCGAAGUUCUUCGAAGUGCAAGAGGCGACGGAUGCUCUGAGCAACCUCGCGCACAACGCCGAAUCGUCGACCUACGAGCUGUGCGGGAAGCCAGUGGUGAAGCCGCACCAGAGCGCUGAGGAGUUCCACAAGAUGAUCAUGGAGCAGGUCCAGAAGCAGGUGAAGUAGAGAGGCGGCGUGCACCGCUGACGACACCAAGCGAUACGUCUUCGUGCUCAUCUAUUUUAUUCUUUCUCUCCCUUUCUCUGUGUGUCGCCGGCUGCACGUCGCACACCUUCACAGAGACAGGCGCGCUCUACAUGCUGACAUACUCGCCCAUGCCGCUGAGCAUUGCACACGUGCUAGUCACAGGCCGUGGGUGCUCAAGAGAGUCGCUGUCGAUCUGUUUUCUUUUUGAAUCAUGGGAUGCACGCCGACCUUCUUAGUGUGUGUGUGUGUGCAUUUUUCUGGAUGUGUUGUGUAGGCAAAGAGGGCGUCAGCGGGUGCGUGUGUGUGGGUCGACGUCAUGCUUGCUGAAAAAAGAAUAGAAAGGACGUAUGCAGCGAUUUACUGGUAGUGCUGGUGCUGGUUGCUCUCCCAUGGCUUCCCCGUUGCCGUCCGGUUUUUGUGCGCGUAUCUACGCCGAUGUGCACAUGUGCGCUCUGUGGUGUUCUCUGCCUCUUCCUUCUGUAUUGCCUCACUGUUUAUCUGUUGUGUGUCGUCGCUGUCUUCUCUUCUUUUUCUGUGUUUUUUUUUUAAUUUGGCGCGGUGUCGGCGCAGCGUGUGAUGCGUGCGCAUGAUCGUGUGUACACGCACGCGAGAGUGCGUGUGGCAGUGACGGUGAUCGGGGCGAUAUGUCUGGUGUGUAUGGGUGCGUGAGUAGCUGUUGUGCGCCCCGCUAUGUUGUUGCUAUUUCUCUCUCUCGUGUUUGGCCAGGCGUCUCUUUAACCUCGUCCUUUGAUCUG